This 253-nucleotide ribosomal RNA is filed under the name uncultured bacterium. RNAcentral describes it as "partial 16S ribosomal RNA". It matches the Rfam family "Bacterial small subunit ribosomal RNA", at positions 524 to 776 of the family's 1533-position model. The record is from RNAcentral.
UACGUAGGUGGCAAGCGUUGUCCGGAUUUACUGGGCGUAAAGAGCGCGCAGGCGGUCGUUCAAGUCGCGUGUGAAAGCCCCCGGCUCAACUGGGGAGGGUCACGCGAUACUGAUCGACUCGAAGGCAGGAGAGGGUAGUGGAAUUCCAGGUGUAGCGGUGAAAUGCGUAGAUAUCUGGAGGAACACCGGUGGCGAAGGCGGCAUCCUGGACCGACACUGACGCUGAGGCGCGAAAGCUAGGGUAGCAAACGGG